UAACACCUCAUUCUUUUGCAAGUUUAUUUUAUUGUUUUCAAUGAUUGACUUCCAGUAGUUAAAGUUCAAGUUUCAGCUUUGGGUGAGUGAAAAGUUAAUAUAGACAUCUUUGGAAAAAGAAACAAACAUUCACACUCAGUAACUUUGUUUAACACCCAAGAGGUGACCAGAUGCAACUUUCAAGGAACAGAAUGUGAGGCUCCUUGAACCCACUUCUACCAAUGACGUACAUGGCUUUCAGUGGAUUGCAGCACAACUCAAGGUUUAAUACCAUGGAACCCAAAGGUUCUCACAUGCAGUAUUGGAGCUCCGAGUGUUGGAGGACAAACGUCCUGAACAAGCAAGUAGCUAAGGCAUUGCAGCUGACAGAUGGAAAUCAAAUGACUUGGAAUGAAGAAUGAGCCAUAAAUUUGGUACAUAGAGAAUGAAGAAGAAAUCUUCCGACAUGAAGAUUAAAAAUAUCUAAAACAAAUU
Pristis pectinata (smalltooth sawfish) is the source of this 474-nucleotide long non-coding RNA. RefSeq lists it as uncharacterized. The transcript is spliced from 3 exons. The record is from RefSeq and is a predicted model, not a curated record. Lineage: Eukaryota; Metazoa; Chordata; Chondrichthyes; Rhinopristiformes; Pristidae.